This 684-nucleotide long non-coding RNA is filed under the name Felis catus (domestic cat). Its description in RNAcentral is "lncRNA (ENSFCAG00000048000.1)". The record is from RNAcentral. Lineage: Eukaryota; Metazoa; Chordata; Mammalia; Carnivora; Felidae.
UUGAUGAUUUUGAAUGUGUGCAUGGCUGAGAAGAUCAUACCAAUUAAUUUUCAUGCAGAAGUCAAGCAUGCCUUGCAGAGGGCUCAUCCAUAGCCAAUCAGCCGUUGACUGUUAAUGGCCACCUGGAGUGCUGUGCUGAGGAUCGGAUCUUCUCAUGGCUGGCCCUGUCUCAUUGGUCAAGUUUCUCCCAAAUGGUGCCAUUCACCUCCUCACCACCACCCCCUCUCAACUAGAACAGCAGCCAUAACCCAGGGUCAUUACAUCUGGUUUUGACUCAGGGACAAGAUAGACCAGGCACUGGCCUACAAAUGUGGACACUAACAGCUCCUGAUAGAACCAGGGUGGAAACUGAGGUAUGUGUGACUCACUCAUACUUUAUCCCCAGCACACUACUCCAAACACAGAUAUCCCAUUACAUACAGUCCCCUGGAGAUUUGUAUUUUUGACUUUAUAGUUGCUCAGCAAACACUUAUUUAAUGGGGGAAAAGUGCUAUGUUAGGUGUGCAGGGAAUGGUUUCCUUCUUAUUUGCUUAUGCUCUAGGAAGAACAACACACAGAGGCCUGUGACAGGUGAACAAACUGUGAGAUAGGAAAAAAAAAUCAAAAUAUUUUCAGGAGAAAUUUGUGAGGCUCAACAUGUUCAGUGAGGAUUUAGAAUCAUGAAAACUUUCACUGUGGUUAAAG